CUGAGGCGCCCGAGGCGCUCUGCCCGCCCGCAUGGCCGAGGCUCCCGUUGAGGACCCGAGCGACGCGCUCAGGACGCAGCAGUGCUGGAAGCUCGUCAGGAACCUGGAGGCCGCUAUUCAGCAGUUCCAGUGCCACCCCAGAAAUGCCAUUUCAGAUGAUCUAAAAGUUGGCUUUUUCACCACAGACCAUGCUACUCAAACAUAUGCUAGUGAAAUUGUGCCUCUGAAAGAGCUGAGUUCAUCUACACAAAAGCUAGCACAGGUUGUUACAUCCCUUCAGGUAGAUUUUAAGUUCCUUAAAGAACUGGUUCAGUUGAAGUUUGAAGAACGACUUAAAGAGGAGUCAUCUAAUAUCUCCAUUGCUCUGUAUGACAGGAUCCUAGAGAUGGAAAAACACAACCAACAGAAUAUGGAGAACAUGAGAAAAUGCUUUCAGCAGCAGUUAGCUGAUGCCAUCGCUGUCAUCAAAGGGAUGUACCAGAAAAAAAUGUGUGGCAGUAAAAUCUAG
This 508-nucleotide long non-coding RNA is filed under the name Fukomys damarensis (Damara mole-rat). RNAcentral describes it as "lncRNA (ENSFDAG00000025985.1)". The record is from RNAcentral. Lineage: Eukaryota; Metazoa; Chordata; Mammalia; Rodentia; Bathyergidae.